This 957-nucleotide long non-coding RNA is filed under the name Monodelphis domestica (gray short-tailed opossum). Its description in RNAcentral is "lncRNA (ENSMODG00000047980.1)". The record is from RNAcentral. Lineage: Eukaryota; Metazoa; Chordata; Mammalia; Didelphimorphia; Didelphidae.
AUGAGGCCUCAUGUGUAACAUUUGAUCAAGUUAUUAUUUUCUCUUAUUACACUUCAGAUUACAUUGGAAAUAUACAGGAUGCCCAUUUGGAAGCUGGACCAAAAAUAGAGGUAAUGAGGAAAUGUCUGGCAUAUGUGCACAUGCAGUGUUCACCACAGAGUGCGGGGAGUAUGUGCAGUGAGACCAGCCCCUUUUGGCUUUGGUGACUAAGAGGCCCAGACGCAGAUGUUGUUUAUUGUGGUUUCUACAGGUUUGGGCCUCAUUGGCAGCCAUUUCAAAGAAGCCCUGACUGGGAUCCAAUGGUGGGGAAGAGGAGGAAGAAAAGGAAGAAGGAAGGAGAGAAGAAGACAAGGAAGGAGGGAAAAAGUGGAAAAAAAUGGAAGAUGAGAAAACUGAGAAACAAAGAGAGGAAGUAACUUGUCCAGAGUCACACAGUGGCAACUGAGUACCAAAAGCAACACCAACUCAGGUGUCCUGACUCCCCAGACAGUGCUGUGUCCACUACACCAAAUGCUGGAGGAGGAUCUCUGGAGGUGUGCUUGUGCUCCAGCCCCACCCUGCCACCUGCUGAUGCUUGCUAUUUCUCCUGUCCAUCUGCUUGACCAGCAAUUCCUCAAUACUCUCCACCCAGCUUGGAACCUCCUCUUGUCAAGACCAGACCUGCCACAAGAACCUGCCAAUCCUAGCCAUUAUUUUUCCACAGAGGGUGAUGUAUAAUAAUCUUUCCACACCAAUCCCUUACCAUACUUCAUAUGUAUGUUUCUAGCCUGCCAUAGCCAUUUUUCAGUGUGGAGAAAAGAACCCCACAUCUUCUAAUUUUCAAGCAUAUUUUUUUAAGCUGAUCCUGGACUCCUAGUUUAGAAGGCUGUUACUAAAGGUUUUUCACAGGGAGGGCAGUUAGUUCCAAAUCUGUAGAUUUAAAGUCAGUUUUGGGGAAUGUCUGAUUCUCUUCCCCUU